GAGUUUGAUCCUGGCUCAGGACGAACGCUGGCGGCGUGCUUAACACAUGCAAGUCGAACGGAAAGGCCCGCUUGCGGGUACUCGAGUGGCGAACGGGUGAGUAACACGUGGGCAACCUGCCCUCAGCUCUGGGAUAACUCCGGGAAACCGGUGCUAAUACUGGAUAUCGACUUCUGCCUCGCAUGGGGUGCUGUUGAAAGUUUUUCGGCUGGGGAUGGGCCCGCGGCCUAUCAGCUUGUUGGUGGGUGAUGGCCUACCAAGGCGACGACGGGUAGCCGGCCUGAGAGGGCGACCGGCCACACUGGGACUGAGACACGGCCCAGACUCCUACGGGAGGCAGCAGUGGGGAAUAUUGCGCAAUGGGCGGAAGCCUGGCGCAGCGACGCCGCGUGAGGGAUGACGG
RNAcentral lists this ribosomal RNA (403 nucleotides) under uncultured bacterium. Its description in RNAcentral is "bacterial SSU rRNA". It matches the Rfam family "Bacterial small subunit ribosomal RNA", at positions 9 to 414 of the family's 1533-position model. The record is from RNAcentral.